Molecule: ribosomal RNA, 491 nt
Filed under: uncultured bacterium
Lineage: Bacteria
Description: bacterial SSU rRNA
Rfam family: Bacterial small subunit ribosomal RNA
Source: RNAcentral
GAUGAACGCUAGCUACAGGCUUAACACAUGCAAGUCGAGGGGGCAGCAUGAACUUAGCUUGCUAAGUUUGAUGGCGACCGGCGCACGGGUGAGUAACACGUAUCCAACCUUCCGUUUACUCAGGGAUAGCCUUUCGAAAGAAGGAUUAAUACCUGAUAGUAUGGUGAGAUUGCAUGAUAACACCAUUAAAGAUUUAUUGGUAAACGAUGGGGAUGCGUUCCAUUAGGUAGUAGGCGGGGUAACGGCCCACCUAGCCUGCGAUGGAUAGGGGUUCUGAGAGGAAGGUCCCCCANAUUGGAACUGAGACACGGUCCAAACUCCUACGGGAGGCAGCAGUGAGGAAUAUUGGUCAAUGGGCGAGAGCCUGAACCAGCCAAGUAGCGUGAAGGAUGACUGCCCUAUGGGUUGUAAACUUCUUUUAUAAAGGAAUAAAGUCGGGUAUGUAUACCCGUUUGCAUGUACUUUAUGAAUAAGGAUCGGCUAACUCCGUG